RNAcentral lists this transfer RNA (98 nucleotides) under Candidatus Aminicenantota bacterium. Its description in RNAcentral is "tRNA-Leu". Lineage: Bacteria; Candidatus Aminicenantota. The record is from RNAcentral.
GUAGGGGUUCUUGAGUUAAUUCAAAUUAAAAAGACGCAAGGGACUUAAAAUCCUUCGUAGGUUAUACCUACGUGCCGGUUCGAGUCCGGCCCCCGGCA